This 431-nucleotide unclassified non-coding RNA is filed under the name Hevea brasiliensis (rubber tree). Lineage: Eukaryota; Viridiplantae; Streptophyta; Magnoliopsida; Malpighiales; Euphorbiaceae. The record is from RNAcentral.
GAAUCAAUGGGAACUUAUAAUGAAUGUUGAAUUUAAAAUAAUUAUUAGAUUGGUCAUAUGAACAAAUCAGUGCCUGGGAAGGAGUAUGAUUUGAAACUUGUAUGAUAAUUUGUGAAUUGCCAUGUGAGAAAAGAAGCUUCUCUCUCAUGAAUAAGUGAUAUUUGGAAAUCCUUAAUAUGUAAGUUUUAGAUUUCCAGAAGUUAGCUUGCAUUUUUUUAGGAGUUCUCGUGCAUCGUUCCAAAUGUUCAACUAAGUUUCAGAAAGCUUGCAAUUAGAAUCUUGGGAACAGAAGUCUCAUUGUUUCAGUGAUUAACUUUAGGCAGUGGAUUUUGUCAUUAAAUAACUUUACACUUGUCUUUAAAGAGGAUGAAAAAAUAUUAUAAAGUGAUAAUAAUCAUGCAUUGCAUAUAGGGGUGAGCAUUCGGUUCAAA